This 1323-nucleotide ribosomal RNA is filed under the name Liriomyza sativae (vegetable leafminer). RNAcentral describes it as "16S ribosomal RNA". The record is from RNAcentral. Lineage: Eukaryota; Metazoa; Arthropoda; Insecta; Diptera; Agromyzidae.
AUUAAAUUUUAUUUAUUAAAUUAAUUUUUUUUUAUUUAAAUUAUUAAAAAUAAUUAUAUAAUUUAUUGUUUUAGUAUUAUUUAAAGAAUAAAUAAUUUUUAUAAUAGUUUAUUAGUAUUGUAAAAGAAAAUUGAAAUAAUUUGAAAAAUUUUUAUUAUAAAAGAAAAUUUUAUAAAUUGUACCUUUUGUAUCAGGGUUUAUCAAAUAAAUAAUAAAUAUUUAUUUUUCUCGAUUUUAAAAGAGUUAAUUAAUUUUAAAAGUUAAUGUGAUAAAAUUAUUUUUAAAAAUUAAUUAGAAAUGAAAUGUUAUUCGUUUUUAAAGGUAUCUAGUUUUUUAAGAAAUGAAUUUAAUUCAGAAAUUUUAAAUUAUUUAAUUUAUUUUUAAAUUAAAUAAUUUUUUAAUUUUAAUAUCUUAUGGGAUGAGCUAUAAAAUAUUUUUAAAAAAUUUUAAAUAAAUAUUUAAUAAAUGUAAGCUUAGAAUUAGCUAUCAUUAAUAAAUUUGUUAUAAUUUAUUUUAUUUUUUAUAUUAUUUAAUUUAUUUUUAUUUUUUAUUAAAAUAUUAAUUUUAAUUUUUAAAAUUAAGAAAUAAUGAUAAAAUUAGUAUAUAAUUAUUGUAAAGAUAUUUUUUUAUGAAAAGUUUUUAUAAAGAACUCGGCAAAAUAAAAUAUUCGCCUGUUUAACAAAAACAUGUCUUUUUGAAUUUUUUAAAAAGUCUGACCUGCCCAAUGAAUUUUUUAAUGGCCGCAGUAUUUUGACUGUGCAAAGGUAGCAUAAUCAUUAGUUUUUUAAUUGAAGGCUGGAAUGAAUGGUUGGACGAGAUAUUAACUGUUUCAUAAAAAUUUAUAAUAGAAUUUUAUUUUUUAGUCAAAAAGCUAAAAUAAAUUUAAAAGACGAGAAGACCCUAUAAAUCUUUAUAUUUUUAAUAUUUAAUUUAUUUAGAUAAAUUUAAUUUUUAUAUUUAAAAAUAUUUUAUUGGGGUGAUAUUAAAAUUUAAAAAACUUUUAAUUUUUUUAAAUACAUUAAUUAAUGAAUUUAUGAUCCGUUAAUAACGAUUAAAAAUUUAAGUUACUUUAGGGAUAACAGCGUAAUUUUUUUGGAGAGUUCAUAUCGAUAAAAAAGAUUGCGACCUCGAUGUUGGAUUAAGAUAUAGUUUUAGGUGUAGAAGUUUAAAAUUUAAGUCUGUUCGACUUUAUAUUCUUACAUGAUCUGAGUUCAAACCGGCGUAAGCCAGGUUGGUUUCUAUCUUUAAAAAAUUAAUAUAUUUUAGUACGAAAGGAUUGAAUAUAUAAAUAAUUAUAUUUUUAAAAAGAAUUUCAUUAAUAUA